This is a long non-coding RNA of Vicia villosa (hairy vetch), 1585 nucleotides long. RefSeq lists it as uncharacterized. The record is from RefSeq and is a predicted model, not a curated record. NCBI's taxonomy places the organism in Eukaryota, Viridiplantae, Streptophyta, Magnoliopsida, Fabales, Fabaceae. The transcript is spliced from 3 exons.
GUUUUGCAGCAUCUCCAUCUUUUCAAAAACCCAAACCUUCACCUUUCUUCUACAUCUUUCUUCUCUCAUUUCUUUUUUCUUUUGAGGAACUUGUUUCCCAUAUUAACCACGGUAACCGAAAAAUACCACCUCCAAAAUAUGCACAAGAAACAAACUUCACCUUUAACCAAACAAACAAACUUCAUUUCCGAUCUAACUCAUUCUCAACUGGCGGUCAACAACCACCGGCACAAACUCAACAAUCACCACCUUCAGUUCAUCCGAAACUCAUUCAUAACCGUACUCACCAAUCACCAUCACAGUAGCUCACAACCAUCCCUCUCCAUUUCACCGCUCUUGAGACACAGUUCCGAUCCACAUAUCUCUUACCGAUCCGAUUUUUGACGUUGACGGAAUUGGUUUCAAAAGUGUGUUUUUGGUUACUGCACAACCUUAUAUUUUUAGCAACGGAUAUCAGAUACGGAUGAAUGAGAUGCCUUGUCCGCAUUGCAGUCUUGGUUAUAUUGUUCCCGAAUGGAUUGAGGAGAAGCCAACGCUUGCAGACAUAAAGAAGAUAUAUGGGAAAAAUUCUCUUCCAAUUACAACGAUCAUCUUCUGAAGCCGAACAAAGAGAACCCUUGCUGAGUUUGACGAAUAUACAAAUGACUAAUGAGAGGAGACAUUCUUUCCUAAGUCAAACUUUUUCAAUUAUUUUCUUAUCCUAUUUGUCAUUUGUUCUGUUGACAUCAUCAUAUCAAUUUUCUUGCAGCCAGGGCAAAUAUCGAAAGAAAAUGGUUUCUCAAUCAUCCGAGUUUUCUACUUAAGGAAAUAGAAUAUCAGGAAACAAAUCAAAUACUACGACGGAACCGCCUGCAAUGCUUAUGCCAAGCUUAGUAUUUAAAUUACUUGUAACAUGGCAUUGGAGUUUGCUUAUAAUCAAGUGAUAUUUUAUUAGUUUUCUGUUGCAGUGGAAGCUUGUCCUUUGGAAGUCUAUUGUUCAAUGCAUGUCCAGAACGGGUCUGCUGCGAUAAUUUCCUGAACGAAUCUGCUGCGUGCUUAAGCUGUCCACCACAUUCUUGUACCAAGAUUUUAUUUUAUUGGACACAUCUGAUGCGGUUGCAGUUAAUGAGUAUAUGAAUGGGAAAAAGCUGGUACGGCAUAUAAUGGUACUUACAGAGCAACCUCAACUCGUAAAGGCUUUAUUUCUCCUAGACGUUCUGGUGGAAUUGCUCAUAAAUCGGCUGCGAAGAGUCAAUACCGUGUUCUGAUUAUCAAUUCUCUGUGGGAUUUUCCCGGUUAUAUGGCAGAAGUUGCUGUUCAUGUCGAGAAUUAGAGGGGGCAUAGUUUUGUUAGUGUAGUAUCCUUGGGAGCGGUCAGUGAUAUGGUUUGUUUUGAAGUGGCUGCAUCUCGGCAUUGGCGUUGGAUUUAUUGCGGAGUUCUUUUCAGUUAAGGUCUUUUGUGCAUGUGGUGGAUUCGAGCUUGGUUCUUUGCUUGAGGCGGUUCUUAUCAAACUUUCCUAGUCUCAUCUUCAAAUUCCAAUGAAAAUUUUGUAUCCUUAGAUCCUCUAGUAUUGCACAUAUCUGUAGGCCAAUUCCAAUUGUCACAA